This 465-nucleotide ribosomal RNA is filed under the name uncultured bacterium. RNAcentral describes it as "partial 16S ribosomal RNA". It matches the Rfam family "Bacterial small subunit ribosomal RNA", at positions 338 to 795 of the family's 1533-position model. The record is from RNAcentral.
CCUACGGGAGGCAGCAGUAGGGAAUCUUCCACAAUGGACGAAAGUCUGAUGGAGCAACGCCGCGUGAGUGAAGAAGGGUUUCGGCUCGUAAAGCUCUGUUGGUAGUGAAGAAAGAUAGAGGUAGUAACUGGCCUUUAUUUGACGGUAAUUACUUAGAAAGUCACGGCUAACUACGUGCCCGCAGCCGCGGUAAUACGUAGGUGGCAAGCGUUGUCCGGAUUUAUUGGGCGUAAAGCGAGUGCAGUCGGUUCAAUAAGUCUGAUGUGAAAGCCUUCGGCUCAACCGGAGAAUUGCAUCUGAAACUGGUAGACUUGAGUGCAGAAGAGGAGGGUGGAACUCGAGGUGUAGCGGUGGAAUGCGUAGAUAUAUGGAAGAACUCCAGUGGCGAAGGCAGCUCUCUAAUCUGCAACUGACGCUGAGGCUCGAAAGCAUGGGUAGCGAACAGGAUUAGAUACCCCAGUAGUC